Small nucleolar RNA from Podarcis muralis (Common wall lizard), 69 nucleotides. Lineage: Eukaryota; Metazoa; Chordata; Lepidosauria; Squamata; Lacertidae. The record is from Ensembl.
GCCUUGUGAUGAAAACUUUGUCCAGUUCUGCUGCUGAAUGCAAGUGGUGACAAUUCAAAUUCUGAAGGC